GAGGAGCUCGUGGAGGAGAUCCUCAUCCGCCUCCCUAAGGACGAGCCAGGUAAUCUCCUCCGCUCCUCCCUCGUCAGUAAGCAAUGGCACGACCUCCUCGCCGCCGACGGCUUCCGUCGCCGCUACGGUGAUUUCCACCGAACACCUCCCAUGCUUGGCUUCUUCCACAUCUGGCCGGAACCCUGCGCCGAGUUCAUCCCCACGACGGAUUUCGCUGCGCCCGAUCUCGACCCCCGGCAGCACUAUUCCGUGGAAGAUUGUCGCCACGGCCGCGUCCUCCUUCGGUACAUCGAUGAGGAUACGAAUAUCCCAUUGCUGGUUGUCUGGGACCCCAUUACGGGCAGCGAAACAUUGCUUGGCAGGCUCGAGAAGAUGGGAACGAGAAGCUGGUCUGCCUCGGUGCUCUGUGCGGCGGACAACUGCCGCCAUGGUGACUGCCAAUCGGGUCCAUUCCGCGUCAUUUUCGUCUUCCUUCACCACGAAGAGGAGGUCGCUACGGCGUGCGUGUACUCAUCGGAGACGGCUAGUUGGAGCUCUCUGGCCAUCACCGACCUUGGUAUGUUUGAGGAGGAAAUCGAUUGCUGCACGCCUAGUGUACUCGCAGGAGAUGCGCUCUAUUUCCUCCUGUUCCGGGACCAGGCGUUUGAAGGUUGCAGUAUUCUCAAGUACGACUUGGGAACCUCUUGUCUGUCAGAGAUUAAUCUGUCGGAUGAGAUGCAGGAUGCCAGCAACAGUCCAAUUCUCAUCGCAUCGGACGACGGUCGGCUAGGGCUCGCAGACCUGUUCUAUUCCGACCUCUCCAUCUGGUGGAGAGAGGUGGAUCCCGAUGGAGUUGCGUCGUGGGCAGAACGCAGAGACAUCGACCUCGAGACUCUUCUUCCCGCUGGUGAUUUCAAGAUAUCACCAGACUUGGUUGGCUCCAUCGAGGGUACUGACAUCAUUUUUGCAACCACAAGUCUCGGCACCUACGAAAUUGAUCUCAAGUCACUGACAUCACCUUUGAAGAUGCUCUCCAGCUGGCUGAAUCAAGAUCUGAAUGUCAAAUGGACCAUCUUACCCUACGUUAGCUUCUACUAUCCUCCAGUU
Molecule: ribosomal RNA, 1086 nt
Filed under: Triticum aestivum (bread wheat)
Lineage: Eukaryota; Viridiplantae; Streptophyta; Magnoliopsida; Poales; Poaceae
Description: partial small subunit ribosomal RNA
Source: RNAcentral